UACGUAGGGGGCAAGCGUUUGUCCGGAAUUAUUGGGCGUAAAGAGCGUGUAGGCGGCCAGAUAAGUCCGCUGUGAAAUCUCGAGGCUCAACUUCGAGCUGUCGGUGGAAACUAUCUGGCUAGAGUCCGGAAGAGGAGAAUGGAAUUCCUGGUGUAGCGGUGAAAUGCGCAGAUAUCAGGAAGAACACCCCGUGGCGAAGGCGGUUCUCUGGGACGGUACUGACGCUGGAGACGCGAAAAGCGUGGGGAGCAAACAGG
RNAcentral lists this ribosomal RNA (257 nucleotides) under uncultured bacterium. RNAcentral describes it as "partial 16S ribosomal RNA". It matches the Rfam family "Bacterial small subunit ribosomal RNA", at positions 524 to 776 of the family's 1533-position model. The record is from RNAcentral.